Long non-coding RNA from Hyaena hyaena (striped hyena), 828 nucleotides. RefSeq lists it as uncharacterized. NCBI's taxonomy places the organism in Eukaryota, Metazoa, Chordata, Mammalia, Carnivora, Hyaenidae. The transcript is spliced from 3 exons. The record is from RefSeq and is a predicted model, not a curated record.
CCCUAGCACAAAGCCCAGUUCUGGGAAGGGUCCCCAAGAAAAUCCCUUACAGAGCCUGAGAAAGAAAGACUACCAUCUCUCCUCUGCCUGGAUCCUUGCUGAGCUAUAAACCAGCAAGUCCACAAUGAUGCAGCCACCAGAAUGGAGAGUAAUGAGAGAAUUAUCGAGAGAGCUUGAUCUGUAGCCCUGGGAGUUGUGUAGCACUUGUGAAUUUGAUAAAGGCACUUUCUUCUCCUUUGGAAAUUUCUGGAGGCAAAAAGCUUUAGGAGUAGCUACAGGCGGAGGGAGAAGAAAAAACUAAUAGCGGUCAAGACAAGGAUUCUUAGCAUCCUUUCCCAGCUUCUGAGGCAACUGAGAGUCAGAAGAGAGAAACUCAGUCCCUAUGGGCCCACAGGCAAGAAAGGAGCCCAGGAGAUAGAGGAGACAGGGAUAUGGAUGCCAAGGUGAUGCCCAGCAGCCAUGUGCCAAGAAAAACCACUCUCAAGUCAGGAUAAUGAGAUCUCUGCCUCUCUUCCUCAUCCAAUCCCAAGGCAACAGAAACUGGUCUUUGAGAAUGGGAAUCAAUUUCAUCCUUCGGCUGACAUGCCCCAGGGAAUCAUGAUGGCGGCAGCAGCUUUAAACCUCACACCUUCAUAAUACAGCAAAAAGAAACAUAUUUUUCUCAGAAGCCCCAGCAAACAUCUUAAUUCAUCUCACUGGCUUCACGGGACACAGACAACAUGUAGGAGAAAGAAGAGUCAAAGUAAAGACACCAAGAUUCCUACAAGUCCUUUGUAGAGCAUCAGCAAUAAGGACAGCAGAAAUAUGAGCAGAAAUUUCUCAAGAAGA